UACAGAGGGUGCAAACGUUGCUCGGAAUGAUUGGGCGUAAAGCGCGUGUAGGCGGCCAGACAGGUCCGUUGUGAAAACUCGAGGCUCAACCUCGAGAUGUCGAUGGAAACCGUCUGGCUAGAGUCCGGAAGAGGAGUGUGGAAUUCCUGGUGUAGCGGUGAAAUGCGCAGAUAUCAGGAAGAACACCUAUGGCGAAGGCAGCACUCUGGGACGGUACUGACGCUGAGACGCGAAAGCGUGGGGAGCGAACAGG
This 253-nucleotide ribosomal RNA is filed under the name uncultured bacterium. RNAcentral describes it as "partial 16S ribosomal RNA". It matches the Rfam family "Bacterial small subunit ribosomal RNA", at positions 524 to 776 of the family's 1533-position model. The record is from RNAcentral.